Non-coding RNA from Schistosoma mattheei, 46 nucleotides. Lineage: Eukaryota; Metazoa; Platyhelminthes; Trematoda; Strigeidida; Schistosomatidae. The record is from Rfam.
GCACUGCUGAGGAGUGCCACAAUAGAACGAAACGGCCGUCCAGCGC